AUACGUAUGUCGCAAGCGUUAUCCGGAUUUAUUGGGCGUAAAGCGCGUCUAGGCGGCUUAGUAAGUCUGAUGUGAAAAUGCGGGGCUCAACCCCGUAUUGCGUUGGAAACUGCUAAACUAGAGUACUGGAGAGGUAGGCGGAACUACAAGUGUAGAGGUGAAAUUCGUAGAUAUUUGUAGGAAUGCCGAUGGGGAAGCCAGCCUACUGGACAGAUACUGACGCUAAAGCGCGAAAGCGUGGGUAGCAAACAGGAUUAGAUACCCUGGUAGUCCACGCCGUAAACGAUGAUUACUAGGUGUUGGGGGUCGAACCUCAGCGCCCAAGCUAACGCGAUAAGUAAUCCGCCUGGGGAGUACGUACGCAAGUAUGAAACUCAAAUGAAUCGGCGGGG
RNAcentral lists this ribosomal RNA (392 nucleotides) under uncultured bacterium. RNAcentral's name for it is "partial 16S ribosomal RNA". It matches the Rfam family "Bacterial small subunit ribosomal RNA", at positions 523 to 918 of the family's 1533-position model. The record is from RNAcentral.